CCUACGGGCGGCAGCAGUGAGGAAUAUUGGUCAAUGGGCGGAAUCCUGAACCAGCCAUGUCGCGUGCAGGACGACGGCCCUACGGGUUGUAAACUUCUUUUAUACCGGGGUAAAAUGCUCUACGUGUAGGGUUUUGUAUGUACGUUAUGAAUAAGGAUCGGCUAACUCCGUGCCAGCAGCCGCGGUAAUACGGAGGAUCCGAGCGUUAUCCGGAUUUAUUGGGUUUAAAGGGUGCGUAGGUUGUUUGAUAAGUUAGCUGUGAAAUAUUGCUGCUCAACCUCUAAGUUGCAGCUGAUACUGUAGGACUAGAGUACGGAUGAGGCAGGCGGAAUGUGUAGUGUAGCGGUGAAAUGCAUAGAUAUUACGAAGAACACCGAUUGCGAAGGCAGCUUACUAGACCGGAACUGACACUGAUGCUCGAAAGCGUGGGGAUCGAACAGGAUUAGAUACCCGAGUAGUC
Molecule: ribosomal RNA, 460 nt
Filed under: uncultured bacterium
Lineage: Bacteria
Description: partial 16S ribosomal RNA
Rfam family: Bacterial small subunit ribosomal RNA
Source: RNAcentral